CGUCAGUGACUUGCUGUUGCCAGAACUGGACACGGACAACAGUGAUUCAGAAUAUCGAAUUCCAUCACCUGAAAGUGAUGAUGAUGCUGAUUAUGAGCCACCUUCAUCGACUGCUCCUGCUCCAGCGUCAGCCCCCCCACCUCUGUUUAUAUAUAUAUAUGUAUAUAUAUAUAUAUAUAUAUAUAUAUAUAUAUAUAUAUAUAUAUCUUUAUCCCUAGUGAUUGUAGUUUUUAGCUGUGUUUUUACCUUUGUUUUUACAGUUUGGUUUUAUUAUAUGUUGUUCUCAAAUAUAUCUGCUCCAGUUGGAGUCAAACUGCAUUUCGAUUGUAUGGUUUUCUUUGAGUGGGAAAAUGUAUAGAGGUCUGGGUGAAAUUUCAAAACAAGUCAAAACUGUUGAAUUUGGAUGGAAUGAAUACCUAUAGUGAUAUGUCAGUGAAAUAAAAUUAGUUUUACAGUCUGGUACCUUAGAAAGGUCAAAUGGCACUGAU
This is a long non-coding RNA of Gadus macrocephalus (Pacific cod), 488 nucleotides long. RefSeq lists it as uncharacterized. NCBI's taxonomy places the organism in Eukaryota, Metazoa, Chordata, Actinopteri, Gadiformes, Gadidae. The record is from RefSeq and is a predicted model, not a curated record. The transcript has 2 exons.